AUUUUAGAUGUCAUCCCUUAGAGCUGAAAGUAAACACAUUUGAUUUAAUCACGUUAAUCAAAAUGUAUUUGCAUUCAAGUGUUCUUAUAUAUCAGUACUUCUAGAUGGAUUUAAAUUAUAUUGACAGAAAACAUCCAUUUCUUCACAUUUUUAAAUACCAGUCAGGUUUUAGAACCUGGUCUACAGCAUGGUUGUUUUUUGGGGGAAAAAAUGUCGUUCAGCCAAGGCUGAUCUUGUUUUUCCUUUAUUCUUUAAGCCAGGAGCAAUUACUUUUCAUUUCAGGAUUAAGAGGCUGUAACAUGGCCAUUCGUCGCCGAGGCUCCUGGUUUCAGCAUGUCUCCUUGGUUCCCAGCCAGUCCUGGGUGUUCAGGUAGCAGCUGGAGCUGGGAGUGCCUCUCCAGUCCACAUUCUUUGGCUAUGAAUUUUGCAGCCCUGUUUAUCUGAUGGAGACCUCCCCACAGCGAGUUGCUCAUGAUACUGUCACACAGACCUUAAUGAAUGAUACGGAAAGAUACUGAAUAUUUUUCCUCCAGGAAUGCCAACCCAUCCUACAUGCCAACCAGUCCCCUCACUUUGGCCGAUCACUGCAGAAAGCCUGGUGCUGAGCUCCGAGGAGACCUGUCCCACACAAACCAAACAGGAUGCCUACAGGUCCUCUCUGUGGGGCUGUCACCCAAGCCUGUUCAGGGAAUUUUCAACAAUUGCAUCUGCGCAGACAUUGAUUCUCACUUCUCUGCACUAAUGAUUUACUUUGGUUUAUACCUUCAAUCUGUGUAUGUUAUCACCAGCUUCAGCACACAAAGAUCUUCCUUCUCUUGAAAUCAUGACUUUACUUGAGUUAGCUUGGGGCGGCUUUUAGAGCAUGGCUUUCUCACUAUGUCAUGUGUCUUCAUUUUGCCUUCCCAAACCAGACCAUAAAUUCCUUGGGAGAGGAGAUCCGGAAACUGAUCAUACCUUACAUAGACAGACAGACAGCAGCAAAGACAAAAACAACCACAAAAGGACCGUUGUUGCUCUUAGUAAUUGAGAAAAUUUACCUUAACAUGUUUAGAAGACUCUAGAUCAUUUGCUCUGACUUAUGUCUCUUCUCCUUUCCCCGGCCUGCCCUCUGCUGGAACUGCUAAUGAGCAGUAAGAGGGCCAAAGCAGGACAUGGUGUGGGGAAACAUUGGGGCUUGUCUGAUUGAAAAGCAAGUUGAACCACUGCCAUUUGUGAGUUCACAACCUAGAUCUUUGAAGCUCCCUGUUAUUUGCCUUUGGGUAACUAGUUAUCUCGUUAGAAGACCCCUUAGUGGUUCAGCUGUGCUUGGGGAUGUGAUUCCGCCCACUGGCAUAAGAUGGGCCACAUGACUUUGUGGGUCUUCCACUCUUAUGUGCUUCUUUCAUCUCUCUCUUACAGCAGAUCGCGGUAGACACCAGAUCGCGGAUGCCCUGUCCCAAACAUAAAUCCCGUCCUGUUCACCAAUCCCUCAAAACCUUCAUGACCUUCAUAUUUAACGGACAUUUUCAAGGAUCUGGCAAGACUGCCGGUUUGGUAAUGCAAGGCAGAAGAUAGUUUUCUCCAUGCCAUGGGGAGCAUGGCUUCUAGUUGCUUUGGUCUCUCAUCUCAUCCUAGCAGCCCUUCUACCAUCAAAGAAAGAAGAUUUCUUCCCUUUGGGCUCCAUCCUAUUAACAGUCUCAAGAAUGACUUACACUGGAUCAGCAGAGGUUGCACACUCCUUCCCCAACCAGACACCAAGCCAGGAAGAUGGGGUAAUAUCCCAAUGUAUUAGCUAUAGAGUAAAAACUUAAAUUUA
Molecule: long non-coding RNA, 1795 nt
Organism: Mustela erminea (ermine)
Lineage: Eukaryota; Metazoa; Chordata; Mammalia; Carnivora; Mustelidae
Exons: 2
Source: RefSeq, a predicted model, not a curated record